ACUCCUACGGGAGGCAGCAGUGGGGAAUAUUGCACAAUGGGGGAAACCCUGAUGCAGCCAUGCCGCGUGUGUGAAGAAGGCCUUCGGGUUGUAAAGCACUUUCAGUAGGGAGGAAGGUAGUGUAGUUAACACCUGCAUUAUUUGUACGUUACCUACAGAAGAAGCACCGGCUAACUCCGUGCCAGCAGCCGCGGUAAGUACGGAGGGUGCGAGCGUUAAUCGGAAUUACUGGGCGUAAAGCGCAUGCAGGCGGCCUGUAAGUCAGAUGUGAAACGCCCGGGGUCUUAACCUCGGAAUUGCAUUUGAAACUGGCAGGCUAGAGUCUUGUAGAGGGGUUAGAAUUUCGAGGUGUAGCGGUGAAAUGCGUAGAG
RNAcentral lists this ribosomal RNA (371 nucleotides) under uncultured bacterium. RNAcentral's name for it is "bacterial SSU rRNA". It matches the Rfam family "Bacterial small subunit ribosomal RNA", at positions 335 to 695 of the family's 1533-position model. The record is from RNAcentral.